UUGGCUUUUCCAGGCAGGGCCCAGAAAGGCUGGGCCUGUUUCCUCUUAACUCCGGAUCUUUCCAUUUCACCAAACUGCCUCCUCAGCCCUGGCUGACUAGCCAAGUGACCUCAGGAAGUCCCUCAGAUCUCCAGGCCUUGCUUCCUCAUUUGUAAGGAGACUGGAACUUAAUUUGGAGUCCUAAGACCCAAGUUCAAAUUCUGAUUGUUUCUAAUGAAAACUAACAUUGGUAGCCAUCUGUAGCAUGGGAGAGAAAGAGGGGAGAAAAUUACAAAAGAAAAUUACUAAUAACUUGGUUGUUUAUUUUAAAAAGAAAAUUACAAAAUAACUUUUUGUUUAUUUUAAAAGCAAGGUACUCGUAAUAGAUCGGCGGUUUCAGAUGCAAUACUCUUUUUUCUUCCGUUUCAUUUUGUUAUGGCAAUGGCUGCUUUAUUUCUUAAAUUCAGAAUAAAAAAAAGAUAAAAAAAUUCAACAUUUGCUCAUCACUUUAAUACUUGCAAAUCUAUGCAUAUGUAUUCCCCCGUUGGCUUUUCACCGCUCUGGGAGCAGGGUUAAGUGGUUGCCAGGAUCUCCAUCCUUCAGAUGAGGACGUAGGUUGGGAAGGGUUCCGUGACCCACCCAGAGUCGCCCCUUAUUUCCUUCCUUUGCCCGCCUAUGGCUGGCUCUGUUUAGCGGUUUGCACGCAGUCCUCGCUCUUAGAUUGUAACCUCCUUGAAGGCAGGGGCUCUCUUCAUGCCCGACCCCCGGCAUUUAGCGCGGCGCUUGGCAACAGUUGGGGCUUAACGUUACGAGGGAACGAUGGCGGCCGAGCUGCCUCCAACCCACACCCAGGCCGGGCGCUGGGCCCGAGCCCCGGCCGGUGCAGGGCGGCCCCUCGGCCUGCACGCCCAGCGGGCUCCGGGUCCGGGGAGCGCCGGCCCAGCCCGGGCUGCGGCGCGGUCCCCGGCCCAGGCUGCGCUGCGCAGACGCGGCCGCUAGGUGGCGGGGCCCCGCGAGCAGAGCGUGGGAAGCGCCCGGGCUCGGGGGCUGAGCUCACACGCUGGCUCGGCGGCCGCUGCAGAAGAGCCGGCGGCCGGCCGGGCGGCUGCCCGGGCUCCAGCCUCCGGGGGACCCCUCCGGGGGGCCCCCUCCCCAAGCGCCGCCCCGCUCCGGAAGCCGACUCAGAAGCAAAGCUGCUUGGCACAUGAGAGUGGGGGACAUCUGGCCCAGCCAAGUCCUCUGCAGCACUUGUUCCUGAAACAAACAUGUUCUGGUGUCUCCGUGUGCCUGGGUCUGCUUGACUGUUUCACCCCCUCCCCCAAACUACCCUGGAUGGGCACUGGGACCCAGACAGUAUGAAUCUCUGCUCUGGGCCCUACUGGAAGGCCGAAGACCCCGUGCGUGUGAAUUGGACCGGACACAAGAGAGCAAGGCAGCCACCUUCACCCCUGGCCGGGGGCUGGAGGAGGCCUGGAAGACCUCAGCCAGGCCUUCCGAAGAACUUUCCUCAGGAACAUAUGACUCAGCAGUUGGAUUCCCAGGGGGACAGAGGCCCCGAAGUUCUCCCUGCUAUGGUUGGAGUCCACACCUCUGGAACUUGGCACCUGAUCUUGGAAGGCCAGAGGGGUAAGUCGGUUUCAUUUUGGAUUCCUCGGGCUACAGUUCACCCUGGCUCCCCGGAUUUCCUGGCAGAAGACCCCCUGGUGGGGGGGUAGGAGGGGUGAUCCCUGCCAUCAGAUAGUCAAGUGGGGUUCUCGGUUCUCACUGCAUUGGGCCCAAAGGCCCCCUGAGAAAUCCGGAGGAACCUGGGUUUGGGGAAAAGCCAGCCUGUGAAUUACCCCUGACCCCUUCGUAGCAGAAAUAGUUAAUGUGAUGGUGGUCCUAGGAUGGCGACGAACCGUCCUUUAGGGACUUCAGAAGAUGAGCUGGGAUGCCGUUGGGCUGGGUUCUGGGGACCAUCUCCCAGAGUUCAGCAAGGCUCUGCAGGGGGGUCUCAGGGGAAGAGUUGAGCCUGCUGAGGGGAGGGUCUCGAAGCCCCAGAGCAUCCAAGGUGGUGGGUGAUGACAGGCCACCCAAAAGUGUGGCCAGAGAGGCGGGGUGAAGGCCCAACUUUUUUUUUUGGUCUUGUUUGACCAGCCUUGGCACUGCCCCCCCCCCCCAGCUCUCCAGGGGAAAGCUGCAAUUCUGCUAUUGCAACACAGGGAGCAGACUGGAGAAUUUAGAUCUGCGUCACACAGCUCAGAGAGAGAGAGAGGGAGAGAGAGAGGGAGAGCUCCGUCGAUAGGUCUGUUAGCAACAGCCCUGCAGCAGCAGCAGCAGCAGCAGCAGCAGAGAGAGAGAGAGAGAGAGAGAGAGAGAGAGAGAGAGAGAGAGAGAAGUAAUAUCAACAUUGAGGACUAGGUCCUGCCAACCCACUUGCGAAGCUUUCAGAGAUGUAUUGGGGACAUCGCAGCCCGUGGGAGCUCGGGCAGAGAAGAUGGCAUGCAAGGUGGCAGGAUGGCUCUGUGGGGAAGGAGGCUGGGGGGGCAGAGGUUGGGGGGCGAUGGCAGGCUCCGCCGGGGACGAAAUUCUGGAACAUUCUGUCCUGCGACACCAUACGGCAAGUUGGAUGGAGAGCCGGGACUGCGCAGGAGGCGACAGGCAGUUGUGACGGGCUCCCAGACUUGGUGGUGUGUACCCCUUCUUCCCCCACGUAUGUAUAUUCUGGGAUCGGGGGCGAUUCUUCUGUGGAGGGGGGUGCUUUCUCUCCUCAUCGCUUUUUUUUUUUUUUUUGGCUGUUUCCCUUUAAUUUUUCCACUUUAAUUUCCAUUCUCCUUAGGGUGAGUUAGUCCAAACUGACAUGGGUCAUGAGGAAGGAAACAGACUCCCCCUCCCCCCUCCAGGUUCCACUUCCAUCCACACCUUGAGCCCAGCAGGAGGUCCCUUUCUUUAGGAUGGACAGAUGACUCACCCUCUCUUUGGGUAUCUGUCUGUCAAUCAACAGAGUUGUGAUGCAGAAACGUUAGUGGGGGGGCCAGGGAAAGAAAAGGUGAAGGGACAACUUGGUUGGGGGCUCCCUGGCCCAAGGUCUGGCCAUGGGAGCGAGCGUCAGGGUCUGGGUGGAGCGGGAAGGGGGGUGGGACCCGGGCGCCCGGGUGGGGGCUGAGACUGUGGCAGGUUUGUCACUGCGUAGUUGGGGGAACUAAGUGGCGAGUGGUGACGCAGUCAUGGGCACAUCUGAGGGGGGCAGGGGAUCGAGGCUCCCCGAGUCUGCCGAGCCCCGCUGAGAGGGUUAAGGAUGAGCCGAGAAGGGGAAGCCAGCAUUUAGAGAUUAAAUGUCAUCCUUCUGGCGUUGCAAAGUUGUUUACCUUGCAUUCUCUGUGUCUCCAUGUUGGCAUCUCUCCAGUUCCCAUGUGAUGGCCUUCCCUGUACUGCUGCAUCAUUAACUAAGUGGCAGGGCUGGCCCUUCAUUGGCCAGGGGAGGGCUCAGGCUCCAGACACUUCCUCCCAUUGGUGAGAAGGGUGAUGGCAGGUGAAAAGCUCUUUUGGAUUGGCCGAGAACUGGGUAUCAAAUCUGAAUUUCCAUUUCACUGGAGAAAAAAAGGGGGGUAGUGUGGCGAUGAUGGUUGGAGCGUGGAGGGGGGCACCGGGCAGUUCGGAUCUCUGAAAGCUCUUCAGGGGCGUGUGUGUGUGCAACAGUGCCCAGGGUGCUUGGAGGCGGAAGCUCCUGGGCAUCCGAAGGACCCACAGGGCCAGCUUGAUUGCAUUUGCUCCUUAGGUGUAAGAAGAUCUUGCAGCUGUACAAACUUUUUUUUAAAUGGGUUUUUUUUUCUGGAGGGGGAGAAGAGUUGAUUUGAGAGGCAUGAGGGAUGGCAGAAGAGUUGACAGCCUCAGAAGAAAAGCUGCCUGGGCUUAUUUGAUUUCAAAAGAGGGAGUUUCCAGCUGUCACUGGCCGCACCUUGGUGUUGCAGCAAAUAACUCCCAACUCUCCUGGAAAUGCGUGGGCAAGGUAGGGCUGCGGCUGCUGCCUCCCGGGGCGGCCUCCAGACUGCUCCCCGGGGACCCGAGGUUUGCACUGACGUCCGGAGGUAGCCAUAGGUCCUCAGAGGCCAGCCUCGCGUCGGGGAGGACUGGCCUUCCUCACGUCAUCCUCAGGUGGAUGGGUGCUGGGGGAGAGGAAUGCCAUGAGGAAUGGCCCCGGAUGUUAGCCCCUGCGCUGGGUGGGCUUUCUCUAAGAGCUGAUGGAAGAAAGAGCUUCCUGACCUGCAUCGAAGGAGAGGAGAAUUGGGAGAGAGAAACUGGGGCAGCAGCUGCUGGGGGGAAUCUGAAAAAGAAAUGUUUAUCGAGAUCGUCAUCCUUCCCUUAAAUGGAGGUCCCAAGUUUGCCGUAGAUGUUCAGGUAAGAAAUAGAUAGGCCCCUUGAGCUCAGCUAUCCUCCCCCCCCCACCUCCCGAGUGGGUCAUGAAAGCUCCGUUGUGCCCCGGCCGUCCACCCCAGCGCCGCAGUGCACCCUGGAGUUUUGGCCGGCGGCUCGUGCCCCCCCAUUUCUUAUGUAACCGUGUUAUGUGCCUUCUCUCGUCCUCUGGCACGGCCCUCGCCCCGUUGGGGUGCAGAAAGCCCAGGAGGGAGGUCCUGGCUGGGGGAGAAAUUAGUGAACAAGGCUGCUCACCAGCCCCUGAGUGGUUGCGCAGUUGGCAAUACGGGCUGGGCGUGAGGGCAGAUUCCACCCUGUCCCUGCCUUGUCACCAGUGGUUUCCUGGGAACAUCUGCCUUGGAGAGAGAACGGUCCCUUUCAACUUCCUUCUGUAACUCAGCUCAUUUUGGAGGGGGGGAGAGCUUUCCAAAGGAGAAGGUAUGAUGGCUAACAAAGUAAGAUUUUAAAAAAAAAUUUUUUUUUAAGCAAAGAUGGAGGUCGGAUGGGAUGGCGUAGUUCUUGUGACUUUCUCGGGUCAUCCCGAUCCCGGUUGUUUUUCUUGUCCUUUUUUAAUUGUUUGCCCCUGGACAGUGGUCUUGAAUCCAGAUGCUUUCCUGUUGCUUGUCUUGGGGAGGUGUCCAUCAGUCCCUGCCAUGGUGGAGUGGGCUUCUGCGGCCCUACUGCGCCAAUUGCGCAGAACGGGCGGGGGCCGAUGCGGGGAGGGGGGAGGAGAUAGAGAACCCGGCUACUGCAGAAGCAGCAGAGGACGUAGUGGAGGUUGCGGCAGUGAGAGGAGGAGGUUCUCGGAGCCGGGAAGGGCUUGUUGUGCCCACCCUUACCCCGAGACCCAGACUUUGGGAAACAUGAUUAUUGUUCUUGGGACUUAUGGCUGUGUUGGGCAGGGCCCUCGCCAGUCAGAAAGUGUUUGGAGGCACAGACUGCAACGAUCCCCUCCUCGGAGAAAGUCCUGACGCACUUUGGGGUGGGGUGGCUGACGUAGCCCAGAACGUGAGAAGCAUCGGCCGUGGGGCCCGUGUUCCCGGCAGCCCAUUCUUCGACCACCGGCUGUGACGGGACGUGAAUCAGGUUUUGCUGCUUUCCAUGGCGUUUUGUGUAUGUCGAGAAUCCCGGGGGGGAUUUGAAGGUCACCCCUUCGUUUUACAGGUGAGGAAACUGAGGUUUGGGGAGGCUGUAAUUACGUAGAUAGUAGUAAAUACCAAGCCCAGGUAUCCAGCUGGCUUCUUCCGACUCUCUACUAUGUCACGUAGACUAUAUAACACAGGAUACCCCUUGAUUCUUUCCUUUACAUCCUUAUUUACAUAUCCCAUGUAUACCAGCCCUAAUUGGAAAAUUGGGAGAGUCAUUUAGGAGUGGGGAGUAAGGAACUAGAAGGAAGGGGUAUUUGUAAUGCAAGGAUUGAUGAGUUGAUUCUUCUCGUGGGUACCCCUUCCUGAGAUCGCCCAUGGUUUGCUACAUCAUCUCCUCCUCCUUCCGUGCAAAAUGUGCCGUCGUCCCUGAAAUUUGUCAUCCUUGCUCCCCGAAGAACCUCCAGGGGGCCACCUCUCUCCCUGCUCCUUGGCUCACAGCUUGGAGGACCGGCCCCCAGGUGGCCUCUUUUGGUAUUGUGGCCGCCUCAUGAUCCUUUCCCCCACCUCUCCUCCUCCUCCUCCUCUCAAGAGACAGUGGAUGAGAUCCUAGGGCCUCAGAAGCCUGUGACCAUAGAGCCUCAGCUCUGGCCGAACCUGCUAAGAGCAGUUGGUCUCAAUGAUGAGGUGCCCAUCACCAGGGGAUGGAGAGCCACAGGAGAAGUGGGGGACCAUGUCCUAGGGGCCGAUACCUGUGUCAGUGGAGGGACUAGUCACCCAUGUGGAAGGAUGGCUUCUUAGUGAUGUUAAACUAAGAUGGAUGACCAAGGAUUGAUACCUGUGUCAGUGGAGGGAAUAGCCGUCCACUUAGAAGGACAACUUUUUGAUCAUGUUAAACUAAGGUGGAGAACCAAGGAUGGUCCAGUUUAGGAGAACAUUGUCUAGGGGCUAAUCUUGUGUCAGUGGAAGGAGUAGCUGCCCAGAUGGAAGGAUGGCUUCUUAGUGACGUUAAACUAAGGUGGAUGACCAAGGAUGGUCCAGUUUAGGAGUUCAUUUCCUAAGGACUGAUACCUAUGUCGGUGGAGGGAGUAGCUGCCCAGAUGGAAGGAUGGCUUCUUAGUGACAUCAAACUAAGGUGGAUGACCAAGGAUGGUCCAGGGUAGGAGACCAUUGCCUAGGGGCUGAUCCUGUGUCAGUGGAGGGAGUAGCUGCCCAGAUGGAAGGAUGGCUUCUUGGUAAUGUUACACUAAGGUGGAUGACCAAGGAUGGGUCAGUUUGGGAGACCAUUUCCUAAGGGCUGAUACCCGAAUCAAUGGAGAGACUAGGCACCCACAUGGAAGGAAGGCUUCUUGAUCAUGUUAAACUAAAGUUGAUGACCAAAGAUUAUUCAGUUUCCCUUGAGACUCUCCCUUUAGAGAGCACAUUAAUAUCUCAAAAUUCCAAGUCUUCACAUGCCCUCUUCUGCUUUAUUUGUUCAUUUAACUGACAUACUAAAUAACCUGCUGUGUGCAAGACACUGGGGAAGGUAUUACAUAUUGCCUUUGAUCUGGAGGAGUUCACAAUCCAGUUGGGUGGGAGAAAAAGGGAUGGACUGGGACCCUCUGGUUUCAUUGGUAUAGGGAACGCCCAGUGAGGAAUCUCUUUUUUUCCAAAGAUUACCCAUCAGCGCCUGCUUUGCCACUUUGAGAGCUGCCUGGAGCUCCGAGGUCAGUGACUUGUAUCGGAUCGCACCAUCAGGAUGUGCCAGGGAUGCAGGAUUCUCUCCUCUCAGAGGGCUCAUCAGAAUGCCCAUGAUGGAUGCUGAGCCACAGAAACAUUGUUGGAGAACCUAGAACCUCCCUGGCAGGAAUAUUGGGGCCGACGGGGUGAGUGAUUUCAUCAGGGUCACGCAGUGGGUCAAGGCUGGGCGCCUGCCCCUUGGCUUCUCAAGGCCCCACCCCCAGACACCGCGGCCGCUCUCCCCCAGCAUGGGCUUGGCCAGUGAGAACUUUGCCCCUGAUGGGGCAGAAAAGCAUCUGCCAAGCCAUUGGUGAAUCCUGCCCCUCAGGCCAUGGAGUGACCCGGCUGGGCUAGCCCAGAGGGCUGUGGAUUGGCCACUGAUAGAAGAGGGCACAGGUGCUGAGGGAUUCUCACUCCAGCAGGUAGGGCUGGCAGCCUGGGGAGGCCUCUGACCAUCACCCUGACAUUUUGGGGGGUAUCCUAGAGGUCACUGGCGAUGAAGGGCAGGACGGGUCAUGAGUGGGUGCUUCGGGGUAUAGGCUCGGGAUUUAUUUCCUCUGGGGCAAAGGUAGGUCAGGCUGAACUCGACUUGAGCCUUGAAUUGUUUCAUUCCUAGGAUUCCCAUUCCUGACAAACUGGCUGCCCACUCAGGCCAGGAAGGCUGACGUCAGUGUGGCUGGGGAAGGGUCACAGGGACACGGGAGGGGCAGGACAGCCAUGGGAACUUUUUAUGGAGAGAGGAGUAACUUAUCUGAAAUAUAGAACAAGGGGAAAUGGACCUGAGUUACAGCCUGUGAAAUUUGUGCUGGCUGAAAGGAAGGACUCCUCAAUGAGGAGGGAUUGGGGGGCUUCCAGACUGAGAUACCCUGGGGAACCUCCUGAAGAGAAUCCCCCUCUUGGCUAGGGAAGGAUAACUCUUCUUGGUGGAGAUGGUGAGAAGUCUUUCAGGCAGCAAAGGGCCCCAAAUAAGGUCCCUGGAACUAGGGGGAAGGUUGCAUGAGUACAGCAAGGGUCUUAAAAAGUAUAGCAUAGAGAGAUAUAAAGGACCUUAGCGAUCAGUUAAUCUGCUUCCCCUCCAUUUUACAGAUCAACAAACUGAGGCCCCAAGGUAUUAAAAUCCACUGGAAGUCAUCAUUAAGGAGCCCAGCACUGUGUUUUGCAUAUAAUAGCCCCUGAAUAAAUGCUUAUUGGAUUGGAAUGAACUGAUUAAAUCAGCGAUCUUUGAAUUCCUGAAGUAAAUUUCUCCAGAAACCAUCUGUCAGCCUGUGUUAGAGACAUUUAUCAGGCUUUCAGGGAUGCAGGUGGCCGUGAGUCAUGGAAUGCCAGGGCUCUGGAGAAUGAAAGGUGUGCGUCACACAGAGAAGUGAUGGUGGGCGUCUGGCGUUGGCUGCGCAGGUGCGUUGUCAGCACGGCGGGGGGAAGGUGGGCCAGCCGCGUGGAGAGUGAGAGAACCAGUGGGCGGUCCACCUGAAGGUAAGCAACUGCUCCGAACCCACAGGCAUUUAUUAGGUACCUGCUGUGUGCACGGACAUUGCUGGGGGGGGGGGGGGGUCAAAAUCUUCAAGGAACUUUCUGCUUCAUUGGGGGGUGGGAUGCAACAUGUGAAGACAAAUAUAUACAUGGUCCUUUGACACGAAGGGAGAAAAGAGCAUCAACAAUUAAAGAUUUCAGGAAAGGUUUCCUAUAGAAAAGGAUGUCAUUCCUAGGAUUAAAUACAAAAUCUUGCACUUGGCAUUUAAAGUCCUAGACAACAUGGCUCCCAUCCACCUUUCUAGGACCCUAGAGGUACAGACUUGGAGUUCAGAUGAGAGGUUAGAGACACACACACACACAGGUUACAUAUAUGUAUGCAUGCAUGUGUGUGUGUACACACAUGCUUAUGUGUACCUUUAUUGUAUGUGUGCAUGUGUGUAUAUGAGUAUGUUUAUGGAUAUAUGUAAUAUGUGUGUAUAUGUACAUAUAUUUGAGAGGCUUUUACAGAAGAAUGAUAAUUGAAUCCAUGGAAGCUGAUGAGUUUAUUACAACAGGAUGUAAAAAAGACUAAAGAAGAGCACCUUCAACACAGCCUUGGGAUGUACUAAGCAAAGUUGGUGAGCCAAAAUGACUUGGAAGGGGUUAGACAGGUAGGAGAAUAAGGAUAGAGCAUUAUCAUCAAGACCCAUGGAGAGGAGAUGGUUUCCAAGAAGAGGGAAUGGUCAGCAGUGUCACAAAGCUUCAGAGGGAUCAAAAAAGAGGAAAACUCUGAUAAUAGGUUAACAGAGUUCACAGGAAUAGUUAAGAGAGCAUUGGUGAAGAUCAGAAUGCAAGGCGUUGAGAAGUGGGAAGUGAUGAAGCCUUUUUCUAGGAAUUUGGCCACAAGAGGGAGAAGAGAUAUACAAUAUAAUGGCUUGAGAGGAUGGAAACAUAGAAUAAGGGGGAAAGGGAGCUUUUUUCUUGGCAAAACAAUAAUCAGGAUUCUCUUCUUUAAGACAGGGGAGAUUUAUGGGGAAGUAACCACACUGAUAAAGUCCUAGGUCCAUUGAAGAUUAUCUAAAGGUUGUCUCCAGUUCAUUUACUGGAUCUUCCUUGAGCAACUUGGGAAGGCAGAGUAAGAGGAGGCAUGGAGGGGUUGUCAAUCUGCCCUGGUGAGGGAGUUCCACCAUUGAGUUCAGAGAUCCAUUCAAGUAUCAAAACGCUUUAUUUAAUUGGGCCCCAUGAAGGCCUAUGUGGCUGGCUUCCAAGGAUUAGCUCGGAUAUGUGCUGAGAGACUCAUCAACCAGAAGGUUGGUCACUAGGUGAUGAAUUAUUUUGGCUACAGAAGCAAAUAGACUAUGAAUGCUAAGGUGUGGAGAGGUUGCCAUCUGCUUCCUUGGAGGGUGCAACCAUGCCAAUUAAAUCAUAGAUCCCUGAAGCAUUGGAGGAAUUAUUAUUUAACAGUUCUGGUCUGGGGUUCAUUUAAAGAUGGAUUCUGAGUGAGAGAAUUCUUUCUUUUGGGAGGAAGAUAGACAGAGAUAGAGAAAUAGAGACAGAGAGAAACAGAGAAAGAGAGAGAGCAGAUAGACACAGAGAGAGGGAGACAGACAGAGAGAAACAAAGAGAGAAACAGUGAGAGAGAGAAGAGACAAAGAAAGACACAGAGAGAGGGAGACAGAAACAGAAAGAGUGAGAGAGAAACGAGAGAGAGGGAAAGAGAAACAAAAGAGAGGGAAAGAGAAACAGAGAAGAGAGGGAAAGAGAAGCAGAGGGAGACAGAGAGAAACAGAGUGAGAGAGAAAGAGAAGAGAGGGAAAGAGAAACAGAGAGAAGAGACAGAGAUAGACACAGUGAGAGGAAGACAGGGAAAGAAACAGAGAGAAGAGAGGGAAAGAGAAACAGAGAGAGGAGACAGAGAGACAGACACAGAGAGAGGGAGACAGAGAAACAGAAAGAGUGAGAGAGAAACAGAGAGAGAAAAGAGGGAGAAACAGAGAAGACAGAGUUUAUAAAGCCCUACUUCUUGUCAGCUUGCUUUCCUUGACCUUUAUGGCUUUGGGUGAUGGAAGAUCUCUGAGCGGGAGGGAUGUUUAUGGGCAUGGAGUGAAAGAAACGACUCCCAUAGAAGGAGUAUUACUUUGCUGAGUUUUCAGGAUGAGGCUCUCUGAAGGGUUGUAGUUGGUUCCUAUUGUUUGAAUUGCCUGGUGAGGUUUUGGUUUUAAAGGUGCUAUAUGAAGUUGGACUAAAGCAGGUUCCUUUCACUGGGGAGUCAUUAGUGACUCAGUGAGGCUGGGGAGGGUUAGGGGGCUUUGUGUCCUUGGGACCUUUCUGUGAGUCUCUUGAAAUACCAUGUUUAUCUGAUAAGUAGCAGCCCUGCAGUCUUUGAGGGGAUGCUCCAUGAGGGAUAAUGAGCAGCUCUUUCUAUUUUACAUGGAGAUUUAUAAGAAGUUUGCAGUGUGGUGGAUUUCAGUUAGAUAUUGGGCAGAACUUCUGGAUCAGAUCAGGAGAAACCAGACCAACAGGCAGUGGUUAGGGUUUUCUAAGAAAAGGGGCUAAUUUAUCAGUUGACUCCAGGAUAGGGAUUUGUGGAAGUGCAUUGUUGGAGACAAGCAACUUUUCAAGAGCCUUCUUGGCCUUGGCAUAAUUACAUGACUGCCACAUGUUCUGAUAGCUAAGGAACUGGGUUACCGUGGCCCUCGCCCCCUUUCUGCUUCAGGGUCUCUCUUUACUCCGUGCUGUAGCUGCUGAGCCAAGAGGCUUGAAUUGUGUUGUACUAGAGUAAAUGCUUUGUCCUGGCAACCCACCCCCUAACCUGACUUGUGUGGGCUCCUGGAACUUGCCCCAGAAAUAGCUUUUUUUUUUUAUGAGAAUAAAAAAAAAAGAAAAGGAAAAAAAAAGGAAGAAAAAGGCCCAUGAGGGCAUGUUCCCACCAAUCCCUCCCAGGGAGGAGCCUCAGGCUGGGUGGGACCUGUAGCCACAGGCCUGGGCACUGCCCACCUGCCCCGCAGCCAGGAAUUCUGGUAGUUGUGUAGGAGGGAGCUCUGUGGUCCAACAGGGUAAAUUUGGCACCACUAUCCAGAGAUGAUUUUUUGAAGGUUGGGGGGGAAGGGACAGAAGUAGAAUUGUGUGCAUCCCUUGCCUUCCCUAUAGCUCUACCUGUGAAUAAGGUAGAGAUCUACCGAGACAUGGCCGUCAUUCGUGCUGAAAUGGCUGGGAUGGUACUGGGUGAAUAGUGGUGGUUUAAGGUAGAGCCUCACCUGGGGAACAGGAAGUACAUGUGCAUGUUUCUUAGUUAAGAACUGGACGGUCCAGAGCUUGGAAAAAUAAAUAAAGAUACAGCUAAGUAUAGAUUUUAAUAGAAGAGCAAAGUCUGCUGUUCAGAAGAACUAUUUGAAAUCGGACAGUUUUUCUUUUUGUAGUUAGCAUAAUGCAGGACCCAUUGUAAAGGCCUACUGAAUGCUUCUCCAUCGCAUCCCAUUGCCUGGGGAUUGGCGGGGGGGCCGUGAGUUCACUGCCGUUGGUCUUUCCCUCUUGGGCUACUGGAAAGGGUAGGACAAGAGCCAGCAACAUUUUGGUGGACGGUGAUCAGGAGAGCUCACGGCCUACUGUGCUUCAAAGUUUCCCCAAGUGUUUUCCUUCUAGCCAUUUUAAAAAUGAGAAAAUUGAGGCUUAAGGAGAUCAUGACUUGCCUGGGUAGCAGAGCUGGACCUGAAGCCUGCUUCUUUAGGCCCAGAGUCUAAGGUUCUUCCCCCAGUCUGAAUUUUCUUACUCUCCAUCUCUCUGUCGCUCCAUUUGUAGACCACGUGCAAACGUGUCCGUGUGAACUUCCUCUGACGUGCAUUUAAGUUGAUAGAGAUGCAUGGAUGGGGCAGGCUCUGUGUGUGUGACUGCGCAGAUAUGUGUGCGAGUGUGGGAAUAGUGAUGUCAUCGGCAGGAUAGAGAACUUCCAGGAAAGACGUUUUCCCCACCAACACAAACCAAUAAUAUUUGGGAGCUUUUAGGCAUCGAAGAGUUAAGCUGCCUGUCAAGCCCCAAAGUAGAAGUCAGAGGCAAGAGUUAAAUCCGGGUUUUCCUGACUCACCCCUGCGUUCUACCCAUUAGCCCUUGCCCUUCUCACACUUGGUUCUGGAGGACAACUCGUAGACCCCCUUUCCAUAAUCUAUCCGUUACAUAUCUGGUGUAUUGCAUUGUACUGAUUAAUUUUUAAGAAAAUGUCUUGGGUCACUUAACUUUAGGGGAAAAAAAGUUUUAGAUAUAAGCCAGAGCUCAUUUCAGAGAUAAGCCAUCUGCCCAGACUGACCCGUGGGACCCCAGGAUGGUCCGGGACCAAGGUGGCAAACCCCGGCCCUGACAGGAGGGCCUGCGGCGUCUCCACAGGGUUCCUGGGGAGGGGAGGGAUAGGUCACUUUCUCCAUUCCCACUCUCCUUUUCAGUUGCUUUUCUUUUGUCUUGACCUCUGGCUCAUUGACCCUUAAAGCCCCAGCCCCUGAUGGUGCAACCAAGCAUGUCCUUGUCGGGCCCGGAGUGCCUCCGCAGGAUGGGAGAGGAGAGCAUGAGGGUAGAGGGCAGAGAGAGGGGACACGUGUUCUUGGCCAUUGGGCCCUUUCCAAGACAGGUGAACUCUGUGUUCAAAAAGGAGCUAAUUUAAUCUCUUGGCUCCAGUGUGCUUUCUCAAUCUUCCCCAGCCUGCCCCCCCCCCCCCACGCACACACACCUUUAAAGAAUUUAAUCUGCUCAACAACAAACAAUACUGUUAUAAAACUUUGAAAACAAGAGGGCGAGGUCUCCCCGACAAGAGGAGAAGUGCAUGUUGGGUAACGGCCGGAGGGAGAGUGCCAGGCCUGGGAUAGAGCCGGGCGAGAGCCCAGUUGGCUUGGUACCUGGGCACCCGCCCCCACCAGCAGCGUCAUUGCUGACAGGAGGGGGAGACAUCAAAGUUCAGUCAGGGAUCUCUCUCCCCCUCCCUCCUUCUCCUUUCCUCUCCCUCUCUUCUGUCUCUUUUCCCUCCCUCCCUCCUUUCCCCCUCUUUCUCUCUCUCUCUUGUCUCUCUCACAAUCUAUUUCAUUCCCUUCUCUUUCCCUCCAUCCUUUCUCUCCCUCCCUCCUUCCCCACCCCAUUCUCUCUCUUUCCUUCCCUCCUUUUUGCCUCCUCUCCCCUUCCCCCCCCCCCCCCCCCCCAUGGGAAUUCACCAGACUGUGAAACUUCCUCCUCCACCCCUCCCUCCCCGACUCGCUGUUCCUGGUCAUAAGACUGGCAGAGACAGGUCCUGAUAGCAGAGCAGGCCGGUGGGCAGCCGCCCCGCCGCUCGCCACAUGGUGCUUUAGGGGAAGCAGGCGAGGGGCGCGCUCACCGGGCGCUGGGCUCCGGACCUACCCCAUGACCGGCCGGGCCCGGCCCCGCUCCCCCCCCCCCCCAGGAGCAAAGUGGAGCGGCGUCACUGGGCGUGCCCGGCUCGGUGUGCCGCCUGCCAGGUGUGCCAGGCAGUGGGCAGAGCUGCCAGGCUGAGGCUGGCCGACGUGCCCAGCGCUUCCAGGGCGAGAAAGAAGGGGCGCAGGGGGCUGCACUAGGGAGGCCUCUGACCUGUCAGAACCCUUUCCUCAGGGCUGGGAGUCCUUUGGAAGAAGUGGAAGCUGUGCCGGGGACACCGGCACCUGGCCGACUCCUGAGAGCGUGAGGACGACGGGGCUUCCUCCAGCCGCGGCCUCCUGGGGAGCAGGUGCCCAGCCGAGAGUGCCCGGUAGGAGACAGCCCGCCCCGAGGGGCCGGGGAGGGGGGGCCGGGCUCCCCCAGCUCGGGGCCUGGGGAGCGAGCACAUGGAGCCCGGGGCCUCCCCAGGCUCCUCCCUCCGGGCUCCUCCUGACAUUGCCCCAGCCCCGGCCUGUUGGCUCUCCCGGGCUGCGGUUUCACUUUUGAAUCGGCCUUCCCCGGAGAGGGCCUUAAUCCUCCGGUGUGUGUCUGAGACUUUGGGCCCGGACUCGGAGGCCCACCUGUUGGGGCGGCGACCCCUGUGCGCGCCCCCGGAAGGGUCUUCGCUCCUCCGGGAGCACCGGGAGGGCACCAGCUUCCUUUCCCUGCCCCGUGCCUGGGCCUUUCCGGGGCGCUCUCACACACACGGGCAUCCCCCCUUGGAGCCAGACCCAGAAGCCUCUCCUUCCCCCUCAGGAAACCAGAGAGCCGGUGCCGGGGACCUCACACAGUGAUUUCCUGACAGAGGGCCUCCCUUUGUGGGUUAGCCUGCACCUUCUGGGCUUUGUCAUUGGGAGCUAGAACGGCCGUGCGGAGGCCCCGGUGGUCCUGCCCCUCCCCUCCCCCCCCCCCCCCCGGAGGCGGGCCCCCGCCCCGCCCCCGUGCCUGCAGGACGGGAAGGCCCCCCCAGGGCGAUCGCAAAAGGGUCCCCUCGAGUCCCAGCCCCCCGCGAGGCAGCCGGGGGAGCCGGAGUCAGGGCCCAGGAGGGAGGCCCGGGGCCGCGUGCUCCGGCUGGGAUGUAAGGGCCAAGCCGGGGCGAGCUGGGAGCAGAGCUGGCCCCGCCCCCUGCAGACCCAGACCCCGUGUCCCCGCCGCGUGGGGCCUGGCGAGGCCCGGAGCGGCGUUUCCUGCCGGACUCCCGGGGCCGGCCCGGAGCGGGGCUUUUCUGCGUCCUUUGCGCCCACCCCUCGGCGGCUGUGAGCCGGCGCCGGAGGCACGGGCAGGACGGAGAAGCUGCUGCUGCUGUCGGGGGAGUCUCUGCGGGCCCUGAGGCGGGCCGGGGAGGACGGGCGGCCCCCCCAGGGCUCUCUCCCCCGCUUCCCACAAGUUCUCCAUCCCUCCUUAGCCGAGUACUUAUCAGGGACCGGCUCCAUGCGCGGUGCUGGGGGAGGCCCAGGAACCGCGGAGCCCCCGCCGGUUCUGCAGCUGUGCUUUCUCCCUUUGGGGAGGCAAUGGAGCGGCCGCCUCUGUGCUCGGGUCCUCCCGCCCGCAGGGCGGCGCUCUCACUCCGCCGGCCCUCCCUGCGUGUAGGUCUGCCACCCGAGAUCUCCUGGGUCCGGCUUUUCCUCAGACGGACAGACCCCCUCCCUCUCAUUUUGGUCGGCGCCACUAGGGGUACGGCGUGGGAGAGCCCCGUCCUCCGGUCAAUGCGCCGCCGGGCUGGAGGCUUCGGUUAGCCACAGCCUCAGGCAGUGGGGGGUGGGGAGGGAGGGAAGGGCCGGCUCUUUGAGUAAAAUGUAAGAUCUCCUUGGGCCUUUGCAUCCCCAGGGCCCUGCACACAGAGGACACAUCAAUAAAUGCGUUAGGGCCGCUAGGGGACGCUGCGGAGGGAGCCCCAGCCCGGAAGUCAGGAGGCCCCGAGUUCAAAUCCAGCCUCGGACACUUAACGCCUCCUGGCUGUGUGACCCCGGGCAAGUCACUUAACCCCAGCUGCCUCAGCGAACAUAGAUAAAGGUGUUAGAUCUCAGGUGCGAUGCACCUCGGCUGGUUGGGUUGCAGGAAGGCCGCGGGCCCGGUCAGGGACGGCUUGCGGAGAGGACAGACGCCCUGGGGGGGGGGGGGGGGGUUAGAGGA
This 16166-nucleotide long non-coding RNA is filed under the name Sarcophilus harrisii (Tasmanian devil). RNAcentral describes it as "lncRNA (ENSSHAG00000024822.1)". Lineage: Eukaryota; Metazoa; Chordata; Mammalia; Dasyuromorphia; Dasyuridae. The record is from RNAcentral.